AGAGUUUGAUCAUGGCUCAGAUUGAACGCUGGCGGCAUGCUUUACACAUGCAAGUCGAACGGUAACAGGUUAAGCUGACGAGUGGCGAACGGGUGAGUAAUGCAUCGGAACGUGCCCGAUCGUGGGGGAUAACGCAGCGAAAGCUGCGCUAAUACCGCAUACGAUCUGAGGAUGAAAGCGGGGGACCGUAAGGCCUCGCGCGAUCGGAGCGGCCGAUGUCAGAUUAGGUAGUUGGUGGGGUAAAGGCUCACCAAGCCGACGAUCUGUAGCUGGUCUGAGAGGACGACCAGCCACACUGGGACUGAGACACGGCCCAGACUCCUACGGGAGGCAGCAGUGGGGAAUUUUGGACAAUGGGCGCAAGCCUGAUCCAGCAAUGCCGCGUGCAGGAAGAAGGCCUUCGGGUUGUAAACUGCUUUUGUACGGAGCGAAAAGGCUCUCUCUAAUACAGGGGGCUCGAGUGACGGUAC
Molecule: ribosomal RNA, 470 nt
Filed under: uncultured beta proteobacterium
Lineage: Bacteria; Pseudomonadati; Pseudomonadota; Betaproteobacteria
Description: bacterial SSU rRNA
Rfam family: Bacterial small subunit ribosomal RNA
Source: RNAcentral